CAUUGCACUUCAGCCUGGGCAACAAGAGCUAAACUCCAUCUCAAAAAAAAAAAAAAAAAAGACUGUCACUCCCGUUAACCAUUACCCCGCUGCUUCCACAGAGUCUUCAAGGAGGCGGGACCUGGGAGGAGAUGGGAGGGAGGGUCAGUGGCUGUGAUGAACCUUGUCCCUACGCCGAGCCCUGGGUCACUGAUCCAGCUAUGGAGAGAGCUGCAGUAGAUCUGCAGAACACAGCCUCGUUAACUCUGAAGUUUAAGUUUAACCCAAAGCUGGGAAUUGAUAAUCCUGUCCUCUCCCUGGCCGAAGACCACAACCCCUCUGAUCCCUGGAGCCUGGAGCGGCCUCGCUUCUGUUUGCUGAGCAAAGAGGAGGGCAAGAGUUUUGGCUUCCACCUACGGCAGGAGCUGGGCAAGGCUGGUCAUGUGGUGUGCAGGGUGGACCCAGGCACCUCUGCCCAGCGCCAGGGUCUCCAGGAAGGAGACAGGAUCCUGGGGGUGAACAACAACGCUGUGGAACACGAGGACUAUGCGGUGGUGGUACGCCGCAUCCGGGCCAGCAGUCCUCGGGUGUUGCUGACAGUCUUGGCACGGCAUGUACAUGAUGUGGCCCGAGCUCAGCUGGGAGAAGAUGCCCACCUCUGUCCUACCCUAGGCCCAGGGGUCCGGCCCCGGCUGUGCCAUAUAGUGAAAGAUGAGGGUGGUUUUGGCUUCAGUGUCACCCAUGGCAAUCAGGGUUCUUUCUGGUUGGUGCUAAGUACUGGAGGAGCAGCUGAGAGGGCAGGGGUGCCCCCCGGGGCCCGGCUGCUGGAAGUCAAUGGGGUCAGUGUGGAGAAGUUCACUCACAACCAACUCACCAGGAAGCUUUGGCAGAGUGGACAGCAGGUGACCUUGCUGGUGGCAGGGCCAGAGGUGGAGGAACAGUGUCGCCAGCUGGGAAUGCCCCUGGCUGCACCCCUGGCAGAGGGCUGGGCACUGCCUACCAAGCCCCGAUGUCUGCACCUACAGAAAGGGCCCCGGGGUUUUGGGUUCCUGCUCCGGGAGGAAAAGGGCCUUGAUGGUCGCCCUGGACAGUUCCUGUGGGAUGUAGACCCAGGACUGCCAGCUAAGAAGGCUGGGAUGCAGGCUGGGGACCGGCUGGUGGCUGUGGCUGGGGAGAGCGUGGAGGGACUGGGCCAUGAGGAGACAGUGUCCAGGAUCCAGGCGCAGGGCUCCUGUGUCUCCCUCAUUGUCGUCGACCCCGAUGCCGACCGCUUCUUCAGCAUGGUUCGCCUAUCCCCACUCCUCUUCCUGGAGAACACAAAGGCUCCUGCCUCUCCCCAGGGCGGUGGCUCAGCCUCUCUGGUUGAGACAGAGGACCCUUCACUUGAAGACACAGAUGUGCCUUCUGUCCCUCUUGGCUCCCGCCAGUGUUCUCUGUACCCUGGGCCUGGUGGCGGCUAUGGCUUCCGACUCAGCUGUGUGGCCGGUGGGCCUCGUCUCUUCAUCUCCCAGAGCCUUAAGCCAGCAAACUUUCCCCUGGUCUCCCCUGUUCUGCAUGCCCCCACACCACCAGGUGACACCAGGAGGCUCAGCUGCCCGGGCUGGGCUGCGAGUGGGAGAUGUGAUUCUGGAAGUGAACGGGUACCCCGUUGGGGAACAGAAUGACCUGGAGAGGCUUCAGCAGCUGCCUGAGGCUGAGCCACCCCUCUGCCUGAAGCUGGCAGCCAGGUCUCCAUGGGGCUUGGAAGCCUGGAUUCCCCCUGGGGCUGUAGAGGACUGGGCUCUGGCCUCGGACCUGCUAUAGAGCAUCACUGCUUGGUACAGACAUACCAGGGGCUAUCCUGUCUUCACUCUGAAGCCCGAGGUGUUGGAGGCAGGAUGCUCUCUCUAAGCCAGACCGGAGGGACUCAGACAUCAUCCAUCACAGGCUGGCCCAGGCACUCCCUCCCUUCCCGCAGACCCACCUCCCAGCAGAGGGUAUGGCGGAAGGCCUCAGGCAGGCCCCUGAAGAAGUCCGAGGCUCCAGAGGAUGUCAUCUGGGAGCUUUGGAGAGCUGUGUCCCAAGGAUGAAGGUGUGGCUGUAGGGCUGGCUAGGACUGAAACCACCUGGACCUUUUCUAGAUAUGGCUCCACGACCCUUGAGUGUAAUACAAGAAUUUGGAGAACAGCUAUGCCUGCCCUCUGUGGGCACCUUAACACUGUGGAGGGUGGUGCCUGGGCACCGUUGUACUUGUUAGAGAAAUGGCCGUUCCCCAUAAAUCUGACUGCCUGUGUUUGUGUUGGUGGGGGUAAGGGGCAGUGGUCUGAAGGGACCCAAAGGGCCUCAGGCGCAAGGGGUAGGACCUGGCUUUUUCAGGAGACAGGUUGAGACCUGAUCAAAUUUCUUUCCUAUCACUCAGUCUCAGAUUAAUGGAUCAACCCAGAACUGAGAUGUCCCCAGGAGAGCCACUCCUAAAAAUAAAAAUAAUAAAAAAAAAAAAGAAGAAAAAUAAAUAAAAA
Sapajus apella (tufted capuchin) is the source of this 2477-nucleotide RNA transcript. It is a transcript of the gene named PDZ domain containing 3, with no coding region annotated. The transcript has 11 exons. Lineage: Eukaryota; Metazoa; Chordata; Mammalia; Primates; Cebidae. The record is from RefSeq and is a predicted model, not a curated record.